Molecule: transfer RNA, 76 nt
Filed under: Chloroflexota bacterium
Lineage: Bacteria; Bacillati; Chloroflexota
Also listed under: 4 other names
Description: tRNA-Arg
Rfam family: tRNA
About the family: Transfer RNA (tRNA) molecules are approximately 80 nucleotides in length. Their secondary structure includes four short double-helical elements and three loops (D, anti-codon, and T loops).
Source: RNAcentral
GCCCCCGUAGCUCAGCGGAUAGAGCAGCCGCCUUCUAAGCGGUUGGUCGCAGGUUCGAUUCCUGCCGGGGGCGCCA